AUGUGGUGCAACCACGGGAAUAGCCUCAAGGCGGUGGCAGGGACCACGUGCCGCGAAGGGCGACGCAGCGGCGGCGCGGAUCGUUGCAGCCACGGGGCGGCGGUGCUGCGGCCCGAUGGGGCGACGCAGCGGCAGCCCGUUGCUCGAUCGAUGAAGGGGCGCGCUGAACUCGGGGACAGGGCGGUGACGGCCGGCGUAGGUCGACGAGCGGGCCGAUGCGCAGACGACGGCCGUGAGAGGCGCCUGCCGCGCGAGGCCGCCAGGUCGGGACGACAGGCGGGCAGAUGCACGAACGACAGCCGUUAG
This 306-nucleotide ribosomal RNA is filed under the name Triticum aestivum (bread wheat). RNAcentral's name for it is "partial small subunit ribosomal RNA". Lineage: Eukaryota; Viridiplantae; Streptophyta; Magnoliopsida; Poales; Poaceae. The record is from RNAcentral.